Molecule: ribosomal RNA, 524 nt
Filed under: Salmonella enterica subsp. enterica serovar London
Lineage: Bacteria; Pseudomonadati; Pseudomonadota; Gammaproteobacteria; Enterobacterales; Enterobacteriaceae
Description: bacterial SSU rRNA
Rfam family: Bacterial small subunit ribosomal RNA
Source: RNAcentral
UUUAUGGAGAGUUUGAUCCUGGCUCAGGAUGAACGCUAGCUACAGGCUUAACACAUGCAAGUCGAGGGGAAACGACAUCGAAAGCUUGCUUUUGAUGGGCGUCGACCGGCGCACGGGUGAGUAACGCGUAUCCAACCUGCCCACCACUUGGGAAUAACCUUGCGAAAGUAAGACUAAUACCCAAUGAUAUCUCUAGAAGACAUCUGAAGGAGAUUAAAGAUUUAUCGGUGAUGGAUGGGGAUGCGUCUGAUUAGCUUGUUGGCGGGGUAACGGCCCACCAAGGCGACGAUCAGUAGGGGUUCUGAGAGGAAGGUCCCCCACAUUGGAACUGAGACACGGUCCAGACUCCUACGGGAGGCAGCAGUGAGGAAUAUUGGUCAAUGGGCGAGAGCCUGAACCAGCCAAGUAGCGUGCAGGAUGACGGCCCUAUGGGUUGUAAACUGCUUUUAUAAGGGAAUAAAGUGAGCCUCGUGAGGCUUUUUGCAUGUAUCUUAUGAAUAAGGACCGGCUAAUUCCGUGCCAGC